Long non-coding RNA from Helianthus annuus (common sunflower), 846 nucleotides. RefSeq lists it as uncharacterized. The record is from RefSeq and is a predicted model, not a curated record. Lineage: Eukaryota; Viridiplantae; Streptophyta; Magnoliopsida; Asterales; Asteraceae. The transcript is spliced from 7 exons.
CUCACAUUUAGGGUUUUUCUACUCACGAUUCUGCACGAUUCACCGCUCCCUCAUGAUUCUGGUUAGACGAUUUGAUUAACAAGGUGCCGAUUCUGCUUAAACUUCAUUGAUCCUAGUUAAGCGACGAUUUGUUGAUUUUGUCUCUCUGAUUGAUACAGAUUCGUUCAAAAAUCAAGGUAUGUAUGUUUCAGAAUGCUAUCGAUUAUAUCUUCUUCCGUAAUUCUUGCUCUGAUUGUCACAAUUUCAUACAAAUUUCUCACAAAUGACGGUGAUUUCACAUUGCUGGCUAAAGGAAAAGUGAAACGAGAGAGUUUUCACGAUAAGGUUGUAUGGAUUACUGGAGCUAGUCGGGGAAUCGGGCCCGGGUCUAUAUUACGUAGACAACAAAGGAGGACGCUUGAAGGGAACAAAGUUCUCAGUCGGGUCUGGUUCACCAUAUGCUUAUGGUGUACUAGAUAGCGGGUACAAAUAUGAUCUGACGAUUGAUGAAGCUGCUGAAUUGGCUAGAAGAGCCAUCUAUCAUGCCACAUUCCGUGACGGAGCUAGUGGCGGUGUUGCUAGAGAUCGAAAGGUUGAACGUGAUUAUCCAAGAUAUAGUGAAAGAAAAAGAAAGAAAAAGAAGUUGAACGAAUAAUUGCGGGAUUGGUGGUGGAAAAAGAGAAAGAUAACGUGGAGAAAGAGGCUAUGAAUCUAAUAAUGGCAAACAUUGAAGUGAUGCUAAAAGCUAGGUUUCAAAACGUAUAAUGUAGGUUAUAAAUAAUUUGUUUUAACAUGUAUUUUGAUAUAAUAACUUUGGUAUUUGAUGUUUUAAGUGGAAUGUUUUAUAUAAUUGUGAAAAUUUGAUGA